Molecule: long non-coding RNA, 1897 nt
Filed under: Homo sapiens (human)
Lineage: Eukaryota; Metazoa; Chordata; Mammalia; Primates; Hominidae
Description: non-protein coding lnc-ZFAND2A-1:1
Source: RNAcentral
CCGCACAUGACAGGUUUAUUGACAAAGGCUGAACGUCACCAGCCUCAUCAGCUUUUCUUACAUUUUAUGGGAAGGUUUUUACAUCAUCACCGCAGUUGUCCCCAGCUGUUAUUUCUGUAGAAACAAAUUCGUCAGCCACAGGUGCUGGAGUAUUUCAUUGUCCUGGCACCCGACUAACCCACACGGCAGCUCGCACGGUCCCAGUCCACAUGAGUGCAAUUGCCAUGUUGAUGUCAACAAGCAGUGACUGAACCACCCCGGAGCAGACGGCGGGCGCUCCACAGAGGGGCCUUCCUGCUGCUCCGGGCCGAGCGCUGCUGCUCCUCGUGGGCCUGGUGAGGCCGCACAGCGCCAUUGCUGCCAUCCUGGAAGAUGGAGGACGCUCAGGCGUGCACCAGAGCAGCAUGUUUUCCUUCUCCUCUUUAACUCGGCGGUGCGCUAGCUAGCUCAGACCGUGGGCACAGAGGACACACCGCGACGUCCAGCUCAGACCCACCAGCACCUUGCAUCUCCAGCGUCAGUUCCCCCACGGUGGCAGAUUUGCUUUAGGGUUCCUGUGUAACUGAGGCGCUUCACCCACAGUGGCCUCUCCGUGUGGCUUUCCUGGUCGACGGUGUCAGAAAUGUUUCCUGCAGCGGCAGGCAGGUGCAGCGGCAGGCAGGGUUGGCGGGGAGGAGCUGGGUGACAGGCUGGUCACCGCUGGCCUUUGGACCCUGCGGGGCGAGCGCUUUGGGAUUGUAGCAAUUCUGUGUGAGGAGUGCAAGGUGACCAGUCGUGAGGUUUCCUAAGCAGCCCCAGGGUGACCAGGCAAGCGUGACCCUCGCGAGGCCCCGAGGAGCCAGAAGCCACAUCUGACCGCAGUUUAGAGACAUGACGUGGCCCGUGAGGGGGUGGGCAUGGCGGAAAGACUGCUUGCAGGGAGCGGCCCCAGGCUGCGUCCGCUGCAGGAGGUGCACGCUGAUGAAGACGUUCUCCGGCAGCCAGCAGACGAAGAAGACCAGCACCACCGCGAGGAUCAUGCGGAGCGCCUUCUGCCGCCGGGGCCGCAGCCCACGGUGCCGGUGCGCCCUGACCAGCACCCGGACAAUGAGGGAGUAGCACAGGCCGAUGAUGGCGAAGGGCACGAUGAAGCCCAGCGUGACCUCGAGCCACUGCACCUCCCGGACAUCCGCGAAACAGAAGCAGGCCUCGUCGGUGUGCUGCAGGUGCACGGCGGUGAAGGGCACCAGCGUGGCUGACACGGAUGCCAUCCAGAUGAGGCCACAGCUCAGCCGGGCGUGGUGCUUGGUGCGGAACAGGCUGCAGCGCAUGGCCCUGGCCAGGGCGAUGUAGCGGUCGAAGCUCAUCCAGGUGAGGAAGAAGACGCUGCUGUACAUGUUGACCUGCAGGAAGAGCGACAUGAAGGUGCACAGGACGGCGAUGUCGUAGUACCGCUCGUGCAGGUUGAACACCUCAAUGAGGGAGUCGGCCACCAGGAUGAGGUCCGCCACCGCCAGGUUGAUGAAGUACAGGUCGGGGAUGGUCAUCUUCUCGCGGAAGCUGAUGUUCACCACCAGGAUCAGGAUGUUGCCCACAAAGCCGAUGGGGAAGAGGAAGAUGGUGUAGAGGCACGAGAGGAACAGGCCGAUCACGUACUGCUGGUGCUCCGAGAGCUCACCUGUCCCAUUGGCCAGGGCGGUGCCCAGGAGCGGGUGGGACAGGUUGAGCUCGGGGGAGGUGGUGUUGGGGGCCGCAGGCUGCGCGGUGCCUGGGUACAUCUCCAGGCCCACGCCCCGGGCUUGGGAAGUCACAUCCAUGUCUCUGCACCGUGCAGCUUUCAAGAUUUGCCGAAAGGCUCCCAGAGCUCUGUUUUAAAUGGUGAAUCCAUCUUUAGAAAGAAGCGUGAUUCUCCUUGAAG